CCUGGUUAAUCCUGCCAGUAGUCAUAUGCUUGUCUCAAAGAUUAAGCCAUGCAUGUCUAAGUGCAUGCCAAAUUAAGGUGAAACCGCGAAUGGCUCAUUAAAUCAGUUAUGGUUCCUUAGAUCGUACCCACAUUUACUUGGAUAACUGUGGUAAUUCUAGAGCUAAUACAUGCAAACCAGAGUUCCGACCAGAGAUGGAAGGAACGCUUUUAUUAGAUCAAAACCAAUCGGUGGCGGGCUUUGCUCGUCCACCGUUUACUUUGGUGACUCUGAAUAACUUUGUGCUGAUCGCACGGUCUCGUACCGGCGACGCAUCUUUCAAAUGUCUGCCUUAUCAACUGUCGAUGGUAGGUUCUGCGCCUACCAUGGUUGUAACGGGUAACGGGGAAUCAGGGUUCGAUUCCGGAGAGGGAGCCUGAGAAACGGCUACCACAUCCAAGGAAGGCAGCAGGCGCGCAAAUUACCCACUCCCGGCACGGGGAGGUAGUGACGAAAAAUAACGAUACGGGACUCAUCCGAGGCCCCGUAAUCGGAAUGAGUACACUUUAAAUCCUUUAACGAGGAUCAAUUGGAGGGCAAGUCUGGUGCCAGCAGCCGCGGUAAUUCCAGCUCCAAUAGCGUAUAUUAAAGUUGUUGCGGUUAAAAAGCUCGUAGUUGAAUCUGUGUCGCACGCUGUCGGUUCGCCGCUCGCGGUGUUUAACUGACAUGCUCGUGAGACGUCCUACCGGUGGGCUUAGCUCCUUCGGGGGCGGUCCAACUAAUAUCCCAUCGCGGUGCUCUUUAUUGAGUGUCGAGGUGGGCCGGUACGUUUACUUUGAACAAAUUAGAGUGCUUAAAGCAGGCUAUCAUUUGCCUGAAUAUUCUGUGCAUGGAAUAAUGGAAUAGGACCUCGGUUCUAUUUUGUUGGUUUUAAGAAACCCGAGGUAAUGAUUAAUAGGGACAGAUGGGGGCAUUCGUAUUGCGACGUUAGAGGUGAAAUUCUUGGAUCGUCGCAA
RNAcentral lists this ribosomal RNA (995 nucleotides) under Leptopilina clavipes. RNAcentral describes it as "SSU rRNA". It matches the Rfam family "Eukaryotic small subunit ribosomal RNA", at positions 3 to 933 of the family's 1831-position model. The record is from RNAcentral. Lineage: Eukaryota; Metazoa; Arthropoda; Insecta; Hymenoptera; Figitidae.